GAUAAAAAUUUUAUCUAAAAUUUGAAUUUUAAAUAUAUUAUAUAUAUAUUAUUAAAUGUAAUUUAAAAUAAACAAAUUUUUUUUGCUUAAUUUUAUGUUUAAAUAAUCAACUUUAUAUUAAAUAUCAGUCAAAAAUAAUAAAAUAUACAAUAUUAAUAAAUUUUAUUUUAAAUAUAAUUUAACUUUUAAAAAAUGUAUCACUGCACAUGAUGCAGGAAACACCUAGUAUGUAUGUAUAUGUAAUGCAGGGGAUCUCCCAAAACCGUACAUGACCGACCAAACGGGAUUGAACUAAACCGGGACUGUACCGAAAGUCUCAAGAACGUAACACUAAAAAGUUCAGUUGUGGAAUCUGCUCGUCAUCCUCUGCUUGUGAACUAGACUCUGCUUUACCUUAUUUCACCAGAGCUUGCAGAUAUUUUGUGGUAUUCAUGUAAAUAAUGUUUUUCUCCUCUGAAAGUUAUUCACCAAUCUAAAGCUAUUUACGACCGUUAGACCAACUUCUGUUUUUCAUUCCAGGUCUCUUGAGUUGCGGUUUCUGAGCAGCACUACCACAUUGCUUUGGGAUCGUCUCAAGUACUUGUAUUGUUCGCUGCUUCUUGGCUGUUGACAAUAUCACAAAACAUUUUCUUGGUUUGUUAAUUUUUUUUUCAAGAAAGUAAUUAAAAAGUAGAAACAAACCUU
This is a long non-coding RNA of Brassica rapa (field mustard), 684 nucleotides long. RefSeq lists it as uncharacterized. Lineage: Eukaryota; Viridiplantae; Streptophyta; Magnoliopsida; Brassicales; Brassicaceae. The record is from RefSeq and is a predicted model, not a curated record.